This is a long non-coding RNA of Monodon monoceros (narwhal), 1826 nucleotides long. NCBI's taxonomy places the organism in Eukaryota, Metazoa, Chordata, Mammalia, Artiodactyla, Monodontidae. The record is from Ensembl.
GGCGGGUCCUCAAGAGCCUCCCCCACAGCUUGCGUUGAGCCCCGAUGUCUUGCCCACAGCCCAGAGGCGCCGGGGUCAACUGCUGCCAGCCUGCGGCCCAGGGCGGGGGGUCAGCUCCCCGCCCGCAGGGCCGGCGCGACGUGCAGGAGCCUCCCGCGCGCCAGUCUGCACGCCGCGCACGUCCAGUGACCUCACCAUCAUGCGAAGCUGGCAGAGUUCUGAGCACAUCUCCCACUGUCAGGCCCACUGGGUGUCCUGUAGGAGAACCCGUAACAGCAAUGCUGCCCUCUCUUUCCAGAAAUGAAUCGUCUGCUUUAAUCACGGGGGCUCUACAACCAGAGAAUGUCACUGCACUGGGAUUAUUUGCUUUCCGCUCUGCCUGGCAGUCAUGGCUCACCAGCUUGCAGGUCCACACAGGGUCACAUCUCCUUCUGGGGAUCAGGGGUAGGAGUGCUCGUGGCCUGGAACCGAGGUGUGGGGACAGGAGACGGGCAAGCCAAGCAGAACAGCCGUCCAUGAGUCAUGGUUCCAGAACAACCAGCAAAUGGCCAGCACCUGCUCACCCACCCCCUCCCGCACCUGUCAGCCUCACCAGGGGGCUCUGGCCGCUGGACAGGCAGGGUGGGGCCGGCCCAAACUGACCACCCCUCCAGAAGAAAGUGACAGAUGUCAGCACCAGCAGGUCCUGCCCUCCGCAUCAACAGAUGUCAAGACAUGAAAACUUGGGGUAAAUGAAGGGUGCACGAUUAGAUUUGGGCCCAAGCUGGGUUCUUGUGGGUGCCAGAGACAGCUGCAAAGGCACGUCAGGGACAAUCACCCUGAUGCAGUGGGGGCUGCCAGGCCCGUGUGCCCAGGGACAGCUGGACGAGGUGCUGACAUGGGGCUCCUUCCUCUGAAGCCGUCCCGCAGCUGCUGGGAGUGCCGCCAGCUGUGAGCUUGUGCGCCUCGGCUCCAGGGCCGUGCUGGGGGAGCUGCAGGCGGACCCACCUAGGGGUUCCUGGGACACUAGCCCAUCUUGAGCUGAGAGCUCCUCUCAGGGGAGCUCCCUUUCUCCCCUCCCCUCCCCUUCUUGGCCCUUUCUGGCUCUGUCCAGGUGGGGCUCAGCUCCAGGUCUCUUGAAACCAGCCCGGAGGGCAGUCAGGCCUCCUCUCAGCACCUCUGGCCUCUCCUGUAUCUUGGCUUGUUUUCAUAUAGUUUUUUCCUUGAAAAUGUAGGUUCAGGAGCCUCCCCCAGGCUCCUGGCGUUGGUGAACAGCUGCUUCAUAGAGACCCCAGCAUGCAGGCGCUGAGCGGUGGGGCGAGAGGAAAGCAUCUCGGUGCCCCGACCCAGCACCAGGCCCCGGCCCUCCGGCUUGGGGUUUGCAGAAGAGGUGUGUUUUAGAGUGGGGCAUCUUCGCGGGGCACAAGAUGUACCCAUGUCUGAAUAUUAUUUUAAAACUGUUAGUUGCUCUCUAGCAUAGAUGAAGAUGUAAGUUUAAAUGAAGAUGUAAGUAUAAAUGACAUGACUUAUUCCAACAGGUAAAAGCAAUGCCUUUUUAGGUGAUUCUGAAACAAGGACCAGAGCAGAUUUUUUUUUUUAAUUUUGGUGAAAUUCACAUAGCAUAAAAUUAAGUUUUUUUAGGUGUACAAUUCAGUAGCAUUUAGUACAUUCACCAUGUUGUGCAAGCAUCACCUCUAUUUAGUUCUACAAUAUCUUCAUCACCCUACAAGGAAACCCUGUCCCUGUUAGCAGUCACUCCUCAUCCCCCUCCCCCAGUCCCUGGGAACCACUGAUCUAAUUUCUGUCUCUGUGGAUUUGCUUAUUCUGGAUGUUUCAUAUAAAUGGAA